This 498-nucleotide ribosomal RNA is filed under the name uncultured bacterium. Its description in RNAcentral is "partial 16S ribosomal RNA". It matches the Rfam family "Bacterial small subunit ribosomal RNA", at positions 30 to 523 of the family's 1533-position model. The record is from RNAcentral.
AUUGAACGCUGGCGGCAUGCCUUACACAUGCAAGUCGAACGGUAACAGGUCUUCGGAUGCUGACGAGUGGCGAACGGGUGAGUAAUACAUCGGAACGUGCCUAGUAGUGGGGGAUAACUACUCGAAAGAGUGGCUAAUACCGCAUGAGAUCUACGGAUGAAAGCAGGGGCUCGCAAGACCUUGUGCUACUAGAGCGGCCGAUGGCAGAUUAGGUAGUUGGUGGGAUAAAAGCUUACCAAGCCGACGAUCUGUAGCUGGUCUGAGAGGACGAACAGCCACACUGGGACUGAGACACGGCCCAGACUCCUACGGGAGGCAGCAGUGGGGAAUUUUGGACAAUGGGCGCAAGCCUGAUCCAGCAAUGCCGCGUGCAGGAUGAAGGCCUUCGGGUUGCAAACUGCUUUUGUACGGAACGAAAAGCCCCGGGUUAAUACCCUGGGGUCAUGACGGUACCGUAAGAAUAAGCACCGGCUAACUACGUGCCAGCCGCCGCCGUAA